CUGCUGCCCUCCAUCUAAGACGUGACUUGCUCUUCCUUGCCUUCCGCCAUGAUUGUGAGGCCUCCCCAGGCAAGUGAACUCUGCAGUUACCAUCCUCAAAUACAAAAGUAAUUGAUACUCAGCAAUGAAAGCUGCAUGUGCAUGUAGGGGAGAGAAGGAGGUUUCACCAGACUGACAAAUGGAGUCAUGGUUCUGGGAAGGAGCAGAUGGAAGAGCCACUGACAAGGCCUCUUAUUUAAAGAGUGCCUGAAGUGAGGAAGCAAACCCCCAAAUCAUCUGGGAUGGUAUGAACUGAACUCUGGACCGCAACAUGAUGGAAAGGAGGAGCUGGGGUCCCAAGGGCAGUCCAGACAACCUGAACCUGUGACACUCACCCUGCCCACACACUCUCAGAGCUGCAGCUUUCACGGGGGUGACAUGAAUGCUUGUAAAUGAGCUUGCUGAAUGGGAGACCAAGAACGAUGAUAUUGAGCUGUUACUACAUGCCAGACAUUUAACCCUUUCAUCCAGGUUAUCUCAAUCAUUCCUUACAGAAAGGCUUUUGAGAUGUCCUUGCAACUGGAGGUGCCAUAUGAUACAGUUCUGCCCAAAGACAAGAAAGUGAAUGUCUGUUGAGGGCUUCCUAUAAGGCCAAUACAUACAGGUGUUCCCAACAACAGGACACAGCAAGAAGAUGGCUGUCUAUGAACCUGAAUAUGUCUAGCCCUCACCAGACACUGAAUCUGAGAGAACCUUGAUCUUGGAUUUCCAGCCUCCAGAGUUGUGAGAGCUAAAUUUCUGUUGUUUGUAAACCACCCAGUCUAUGGUAUUCUGUUACAGCAGCCUGAACAGGCUAAUAUAAAGACAAUAAGGAGAAUUUGCUAGCAAGAUGGAAGCCACAAUCUUUUGUAACCUAAUCACAGAAGUGACAGCCUAUCACUUUUGCCUUAUUGUGUUUAUUAGAAGCAAGUCACUAGGUCUAGCCUACCCUCAGGGGAAAGAAAUUCCACCAGGGCACAAAUGCCAGGAGAUGGGUAUCAGUGGAGACCAUCUGAGAAGUCUGCCUACUAAGGCUUUCCAUGUCUACCUCCGAACAAGGGAAUCUAUCAUGAUUAUUGCAUGUGCCCUGAGCACUGGGUUUAGAUGACAUUAAGCAGAAUCAAGGUAAUUGUUCAGGAAACCUUCAGCGGGAGAGUCUGCCCUGUGUCUAGUUUCUCUUUUGCUUCAGAAAAUACUUACUUGAAUUGUUUCUAACUUAAUAAUACUUUGUGUUACCUGAGGGUCUCUAAAGGCUUGGUAAGCAUCAGAACAAAAAAUUUCUUCUCCACUUUCUAGGAGUUCUUAGAUCAUUAUUUUGCUGGUACAGUAACUGGCUCUCCUAAUCCACUGUGAAGCUUGCUUAUUUACUGUGCGGAUGGUUUGGACCAUCAAAAGUGUAGAGUUAAAAUAACCAGGGGAGAGAAUAUUAGACCCAGAAUCAAAGUAGCCUAAAGUUACCUCUUUAGGUACCUUGUUUCUCCCAUGUGCAAACUGUAAGCUCAAGUGUCUUUUCUCAGGUGGUCACAAUGUAGUUUGAGACUAGAGGGAUUGUGGAUGAAGAUGCUCUGAGUUAUUUAGAAGAGAUGCACUACAUCAGUAAUGGAUGGUUGUUAUUUGAUUAAAAUGGCUAAUUUUAAAAUCUUCAUUUUCUCUCAGUUAUAUUGCUCCUAUGUUAUGUCAAACACUGCUCAUGUCUUGCCUUGUUCCCCUCUCCCUCUGUUCUGCAUGCUACAGCUGUAAUAGUGUUUAUGAGAUGCUAAACUGACCAUAUCACUCCUCUACUAAAACUUUACAAUGAUAUGCAAAGGUCAUCAUACUAGAGUGUCAAGUGAACAAAGCAGAGAGUUAUAUACACAUAUUGCUUUUUUUUUUUUUUUUUUUUUGAGACGGAGUCUGGCUCCGUGCCCAGGCUGGAGUGCAGUGACGCGAUCUCGGCUCACCACAACCUCCGCCUCCCUGGUUCAAGCGAUUCUCCUGCCUCAGCCUCCCAAGGAGUUGGGACUACAGGUGAAGUUCCCCACAAACAGAUGCUGAGAUGAGGAUUUGUGUGGAA
This 2071-nucleotide long non-coding RNA is filed under the name Homo sapiens (human). RNAcentral describes it as "HSALNT0303212". Lineage: Eukaryota; Metazoa; Chordata; Mammalia; Primates; Hominidae. The record is from RNAcentral.